This 515-nucleotide ribosomal RNA is filed under the name uncultured Hanseniaspora. Its description in RNAcentral is "eukaryotic LSU rRNA". It matches the Rfam family "Eukaryotic large subunit ribosomal RNA", at positions 62 to 583 of the family's 3401-position model. Lineage: Eukaryota; Fungi; Ascomycota; Saccharomycetes; Saccharomycodales; Saccharomycodaceae. The record is from RNAcentral.
AAACCAACUGGGAUUACCUUAGUAACGGCGAGUGAAGCGGUAAAAGCUCAAAUUUGAAAUCUGGUACUUUCAGUGCCCGAGUUGUAAUUUGUAGAAUUUGUCUUUGAUUAGGUCCUUGUCUAUGUUCCUUGGAACAGGACGUCAUAGAGGGUGAGAAUCCCGUUUGGCGAGGAUACCUUUUCUCUGUAAGACUUUUUCGAAGAGUCGAGUUGUUUGGGAAUGCAGCUCAAAGUGGGUGGUAAAUUCCAUCUAAAGCUAAAUAUUGGCGAGAGACCGAUAGCGAACAAGUACAGUGAUGGAAAGAUGAAAAGAACUUUGAAAAGAGAGUGAAAAAGUACGUGAAAUUGUUGAAAGGGAAGGGCAUUUGAUCAGACAUGGUGUUUUGCGCCCUUUGCUCCUUGUGGGCGAGGAUACGCAGCUCACUGGGCCAACAUCAGUUUUGGGAGCAGGAUAAAUCUGUAGGAACGUAGCUUUCUCGGGAAUGUUAUAGCCUAUGGGAAUACUGCUACCUGGGA